UUGACCUCGGAUCAGGUAGGGAUACCCGCUGAACUUAAGCAUAUCAAUAAGCGGAGGAAAAGAAACCAACAGGGAUUGCCCUAGUAACGGCGAGUGAAGCGGCAAGAGCUCAAAUUUGAAAGCUGGCCCCCUCGGGGCCCGCAUUGUAAUUUGCAGAGGAUGCUUCGGGCGUGGCCCCUGUCUAAGUGCCCUGGAACGGGCCGUCAGAGAGGGUGAGAAUCCCGUAUGGGAUGGGGUGCCCACGCCCGUGUGAAGCUCCUUCGACGAGUCGAGUUGUUUGGGAAUGCAGCUCUAAAUGGGUGGUAAAUUUCAUCUAAAGCUAAAUAUUGGCCGGAGACCGAUAGCGCACAAGUAGAGUGAUCGAAAGAUGAAAAGCACUUUGAAAAGAGAGUUAAAAAGCACGUGAAAUUGUUGAAAGGGAAGCGCUUGCGACCAGACUCGCCCCAGGGGUUCAACCGGCUUUCGGGCCGGUGUACUUCCCCCGGGGCGGGCCAGCGUCGGUUUUGGCGGCCGGUCAAAGGCCCCUGGAAUGUAACGCCCCCCGGGGCGUCUUAUAGCCAGGGGUGCCAUGCGGCCCGCCGGGACCGAGGAACGCGCUUCGGCUCGGACGCUGGCAUAAUGGUCGUAAGCGACC
RNAcentral lists this ribosomal RNA (634 nucleotides) under Penicillium fellutanum. RNAcentral's name for it is "eukaryotic LSU rRNA". It matches the Rfam family "Eukaryotic large subunit ribosomal RNA", at positions 1 to 649 of the family's 3401-position model. Lineage: Eukaryota; Fungi; Ascomycota; Eurotiomycetes; Eurotiales; Aspergillaceae. The record is from RNAcentral.